GACGAACGCUGGCGGCGUGCUUAACACAUGCAAGUCGAACGCUGAAGCUCAGCUUUUGUUGGGUGGAUGAGUGGCGAACGGGUGAGUAACACGUGAGUAACCUGCCCCCUUCUUUGGGAUAACGCCCGGAAACGGGUGCUAAUACUGGAUAUUCACUGGUCUUCGCAUGGGGGUUGGUGGAAAGGGUUUUUCUGGUGGGGGAUGGGCUCGCGGCCUAUCAGCUUGUUGGUGGGGUGAUGGCCUACCAAGGCUUUGACGGGUAGCCGGCCUGAGAGGGUGACCGGUCACAUUGGGACUGAGAUACGGCCCAGACUCCUACGGGAGGCAGCAGGGGGGAAUAUUGCACAAUGGGCGCAAGCCUGAUGCAGCGACGCCGCGUGAGGGAUGGAGGCCUUCGGGUUGUGAACCUCCUUCGCUCAUGGUCAAGCCGCAACAAUGGUUGUGGUGAGGGUAGUGGGUAAAGAAGCGCCGGCUAACUACGUG
Molecule: ribosomal RNA, 483 nt
Filed under: uncultured bacterium
Lineage: Bacteria
Description: partial 16S ribosomal RNA
Rfam family: Bacterial small subunit ribosomal RNA
Source: RNAcentral